UGUCCAGUAGUGCCUUAGAGACAAACUAAGUUUGUUCUGGGUAUAAGCUUUUGUGUGCAUGCAUGUAAUCUUAUACCCAGAACAAACUUAGUUGUUCUCUAAGGUGCUACUGGACA
Podarcis lilfordi (Lilford's wall lizard) is the source of this 116-nucleotide non-coding RNA. The record is from the annotation of a GenBank genome assembly. NCBI's taxonomy places the organism in Eukaryota, Metazoa, Chordata, Lepidosauria, Squamata, Lacertidae.